CAUCACCAACCUUAUAACAUUCUUACUAAAUUAUAUCCUCCACCUCUCACAAAACCAAUUUUUUUCAAGGCAAGAACCAUCACAACUCAACAAUUAUUUCUCAUGACAUUAUGUCUCUCUAAUGCAUCCUAUGUACCCAUUUUUCAAUUCUUUUGUUCUUUUUUUUUCUUUUUUUUUCUUUUUUCAACAACUUGUAAGGUAUUAGGAUUUUCAAUUUAAAACCACAAAACAUAACUCAUGAUCACUCAUCUCCACAACCCAAUUAUCUCCUAUCAAAUAGUCUCCAAACUCUCACCCAUAGCUAAAACAAAGAAUAUGGAAAAAUAAGGCUCAAAGGAGGUGAACUAGGAUCAUAUAUAGUCAUCGGACGAAUAUCGGAUAAAUAGGCUAGCAAAC
Molecule: long non-coding RNA, 396 nt
Filed under: Salvia miltiorrhiza (redroot sage)
Lineage: Eukaryota; Viridiplantae; Streptophyta; Magnoliopsida; Lamiales; Lamiaceae
Description: long non-coding RNA (SMIL_LNC000928)
Source: RNAcentral